Molecule: unclassified non-coding RNA, 802 nt
Filed under: Sogatella furcifera (white-backed planthopper)
Lineage: Eukaryota; Metazoa; Arthropoda; Insecta; Hemiptera; Delphacidae
Source: RNAcentral
ACACAUUAAAAAAUGUGAAAUAUCCACCAUAUAUACUCUUGUGUAUAACUGGUAUCAGUUGAUCAGAUUCUGAACUACAGUUCAUAGAGUCUGACAACUUGAAGAAAGCUGAUUGAGAAUGCAUGCCAUGUUGAUUAACUUCCGUGGGUGCUACUCAACAGCAAAAGGAACUAGCUGAAUGAGUUUGCAUGCCAUGUUGAUUAACUUCCGUGGGUGCUACUCAACAGCAAAAGGAACUAGCURAAUGAGUUUGCAUGCCAUGUUGAUUAACUUCCGUGGGUGCUACUCAACAGCAAAAGGAACUAGCUGAAUGAGUUUGCAUGCCAUGUUGAUUAACUUCCGUGGGUGCUACUCAACAGCAAAAGGAACUAGCUGAAUGAGUUUGCAUGCCAUGUUGAUUAACUUCCGUGGGUGCUACUCAACAGCAAAAGGAACUAGCURAAUGAGUUUGCAUGCCAUGUUGAUUAACUUCCGUGGGUGCUACUCAACAGCAAAAGGAACUAGCUGAAUGAGUUUGCAUGCCAUGUUGAUUAACUUCCGUGGGUGCUACUCAACAGCAAAAGGAACUAGCUGAAUGAGUKUGCAUGUGCCAUGUUGAUUAACUUCCGUGGAUGCUACUCAACAGCAAAAGAAAUCUAUUCUAUUGAUCGGUCGACUUCCUGGCAUACAUACACCAUGUAUUGCCUAGUGUCCCAGAUAGAUAGAUGGUAAGCAAAACACAAUAUUGUGUUUGCUCAGUGUCAAAAUGAAAAUGACAAAAUAGCCAAUACUAAAUGUGAUCAUUAGCCAGCAAGAAUAUAAA